This 253-nucleotide ribosomal RNA is filed under the name uncultured bacterium. Its description in RNAcentral is "partial 16S ribosomal RNA". It matches the Rfam family "Bacterial small subunit ribosomal RNA", at positions 524 to 776 of the family's 1533-position model. The record is from RNAcentral.
UACGUAGGGGCCUAGCGUUGUCCGGAAUCAUUGGGCGUAAAGAGCGCGUAGGCGGAACGUUAAGUCCGAUCUGAAAGCCCCCGGCUCAACCGGGGAGGGUGGUUGGAAACUGGCGUUCUUGAGGGCGAUAGAGGAAGGUGGAAUUCCUGGUGUAGCGGUGAAAUGCGUAGAGAUCAGGAGGAACACCAGUGGCGAAGGCGGCCUUCUGGGUCGACCCUGACGCUGAGGCGCGAAAGCGUGGGGAGCGAACGGG